Molecule: ribosomal RNA, 253 nt
Filed under: uncultured bacterium
Lineage: Bacteria
Description: partial 16S ribosomal RNA
Rfam family: Bacterial small subunit ribosomal RNA
Source: RNAcentral
UACGGAGGGUGCAAGCGUUAUCCGGAUUCACUGGGUUUAAAGGGUGCGUAGGUGGGUUGAUAAGUCAGUGGUGAAAUCUCCGAGCUUAACUUGGAAACUGCCAUUGAUACUAUUAGUCUUGAAUACCGUGGAGGUUAGUGGAAUAUGUCAUGUAGCGGUGAAAUGCUUAGAUAUGACAUAGAACACCCAUUGCGAAGGCAGCUGACUACACGGUGAUUGACACUGAGGCACGAAAGCGUGGGGAUCAAACAGG